Molecule: ribosomal RNA, 501 nt
Filed under: uncultured Sphingosinicella sp.
Lineage: Bacteria; Pseudomonadati; Pseudomonadota; Alphaproteobacteria; Sphingomonadales; Sphingosinicellaceae
Description: bacterial SSU rRNA
Rfam family: Bacterial small subunit ribosomal RNA
Source: RNAcentral
UGGCGGACGGGUGAGUAACGCGUGAGAAUCUGGCUUUAGGUUCGGGACAACAGUGGGAAACUGCUGCUAAUACCGAAUGUGCCGUAAGGUGAAAGAUUAAUUGCCUGAAGAUGAGCUCGCGUCUGAUUAGCUAGUUGGUGAGGUAAAGGCUCACCAAGGCGACGAUCAGUAACUGGUCUGAGAGGAUGACCAGUCACACUGGGACUGAGACACGGCCCAGACUCCUACGGGAGGCAGCAGUGGGGAAUAUUGGACAAUGGGCGAAAGCCUGAUCCAGCAAUGCCGCGUGAGUGAUGAAGGCCUUAGGGUUGUAAAGCUCUUUUACCCGGGAUGAUAAUGACAGUACCGGGAGAAUAAGCUCCGGCUAACUCCGUGCCAGCAGCCGCGGUAAUACGGAGGGAGCUAGCGUUGUUCGGAAUUACUGGGCGUAAAGCGCACGUAGGCGGCUUUGUAAGUUAGAGGUGAAAGCCCGGGGCUCAACUCCGGAACUGCCUUUAAGAC